AUUAAACUUUUAUUAGAA
Molecule: transfer RNA, 18 nt
Filed under: Ctenomorpha sp. LAN2
Lineage: Eukaryota; Metazoa; Arthropoda; Insecta; Phasmatodea; Phasmatidae
Also listed under: 2 other names
Description: partial tRNA-Leu
Source: RNAcentral